UCCUAUAGCCCAGUGAUUAGGAUUCUUUGCUUUUACUACCAUGACCUGGGUUCAAUACCCAGUCAGGGAA
Molecule: transfer RNA, 70 nt
Filed under: Homo sapiens (human)
Lineage: Eukaryota; Metazoa; Chordata; Mammalia; Primates; Hominidae
Description: tRNA-Lys-TTT-17-1
Source: RNAcentral